UACGAAGGGGGCUAGCGUUGCUCGGAAUCACUGGGCGUAAAGCGCACGCAGGCGGUCUGCUAAGUUUGGAGUGACAGUUGGUGGCUUAACUGCCAAAGUGCUUCGAAAACUGACAGACUUGAGGGCUUCAGAGGGACACGGAAUUCCGGGUGGAGUGGUGGAAAUGCGUAGAGAUCCGGAGGAACACCAAAGGCGAAGGCAGUGUCCUGGGGAGUACCUGACGCUCAGGUGCGAAAGCCAGGGGAGCGAACGGG
RNAcentral lists this ribosomal RNA (254 nucleotides) under uncultured bacterium. Its description in RNAcentral is "partial 16S ribosomal RNA". It matches the Rfam family "Bacterial small subunit ribosomal RNA", at positions 524 to 776 of the family's 1533-position model. The record is from RNAcentral.